ACCAAGACUACCCCAAGGUUUGCCCUGAUUCACUGAAUCUUUCUAAUGCCGGCGAUUCCUUUGCCGGAAUAUCAUCGUUAUCUUCCUGUUAUCUGUUUUCCCGGACCAGGGACUUGAUUGCUAUGUUUUAGAAAUUUCUAGGGUGUUAUUUAUAAAAUUUCCACAGCUUUCUUUAUUUCAAAUCCGUGAACUUUUACAUUUCAUAGAUUUUCGUAGGAAGUUCAUAAAAGUACAAAAUCAAUUUUGUUUGAAACCCUAGGUUGAAAUCUACAAGUUUUAUGUUAUGAUCUUGAAUGAGAGUCUUUGAAUUGUAAUCUAGGUUGAAUACUAGGAAACGAAUGCUUUAUUUGUACCUUGAGUGGUAUGCAUGUGUUGUAGCUAAAGGGUUAAUCAUAGGAUAUAUGCCUUAGGCAGAAAGGUGUAAUAUCUAGUUAAUCCUAUCACCCUGGUGCUCAUAUCCUUGCCGUCAAGACGUUAUCCUUGUCUUGAUUGCCGUUUCCUUAAAUUUCUCUUCGUGUAAAGGUCUUUGUUAAUUCAGGUGCAUCUGUUGCUUAGCUUAUACAUCUCUGCAGCUAUGCUUCAGUGUCGGCUAUUAGCUCAGCCGCUAAGCAUCCAUUUCCUUAAGUCUAUGAUGUUUCUGCGUAACAGCUGUCAGCCGAUGCAUUUCUUUUAGUAUGCUUCUACCAUCGGUUGAUUAGCUGAUACGGUUGUUACCUUUCUAAUAUCGGCUACUGCCGAUAUAAUCCUUUUGUUCUGUCCUACAUCGACUGCACAGAAUCGAUGUAUCGGAGAGACACACAUGAUCUUAGGGUUCUUGCCAGGCCGACCCAAGCCAAUUUUGGCUGUUUUUCCAUAUCGGUCAAACACGGCCGAUUGAUCCUUAGUUUCCCUAUCCUUAUCCACACACUUCUAUCAGCCGAUUUAUCAACUGAAAGAUUGGCUGUGUAUCUAUCAGUCACCUACCCUUAACCACACUCCAAUCGGCUGUACGUCACUCAAUAGUUGUGCUGACAUAAUCGAGUCGAUACAACCACACCUAGUUGCCUAGUAUAACACUUAAGCACAUCCCAGUUAAGACAACUGCUUUAGGAAUCAUCCCUCUGCUAAGGUAAUCGAUGCUUUCAUCGAUCAAUUAGGAAACCAAUGCACCUUUCCAUCGGCUAAACCUCAGUUGUUUCCAAUCGGCUCUGUUGUAAUCUCCAACAAGUAGCCGAUUCUAAUUAGUUGUCCACCUACAACUCUGUUUAAGUUUAACUUCAAAUCUUUUUGGUUGUUAUGUGAAUAGUGUGUUAUAUGAGUGCUAGAUUGCAACUUUGUUGUGAAAUAAAAUAGUUUUGUGUGCACGCUUGAAUGUAAUGUUGCAUUACAUGUAGAUACGACUACUUCGACAACGGUACCUACGAGAUCUCCCCGGAGUCUACGGAGGAUGUUCCUGAAGACCAAGUGAACGUCACCAAGAGAUUAACUGAAGCCCCGAACCAAAGUUCGGGAGAUAUUGACAUUUCUGACUUCAGCCCCACCAGUAAAGGCAAGCCCCGGACAUAACCCACUAUUUUAAUUACACUGCAAUCUAUAUCUAUUUACAUAUUUUAUGCAUUAAGUUCUUAGGAAUUGCUUGAAACCCUAGUUGCACUCUCCUAGGAACCAAUGUGAUGGAUACUAGCACUUGAGUUCGACUAGCUGCUGUGCUAAUAAGGCCGGUAGAAGUCGGGUGAUUUCCUGUCACUCGCGCGAUAUAGGAGUUGCUUGUUUACAAUUCUGCAACCACUAUAAGGAUGACGGACAGGGUCAUGUGCUGUAUCAUGACCUGAAGUUUUACCCCGUCUGUUUUGUUAAAAGUUGAUAAGGCCGAUCCAUGUGGUAGUGGUGGCUAAGCGUUUGAAAGUACUAGCCACAUGCCACGAAAUAUGGUAAGCGGUAAGCCUAGUAGCCAAUCGGCCCGGCAAGUGGACAUACUGACCACCACAUGUAUUUGGUUCUUUUGGUUACUUGAUUCGAUGUGUGGGAAUACGUGUUGCAAGGGCAACCAGGAGUACGGGUUUUGUAGUCGCGCUACAGACGUACGUCCUGCACAUAUAGGGUGUGCGUAUGGUCCUGCAGUCGCUUUUGGUGGCCCUGUCCACAACCUGGAAUGAAAGGCAAACGGUUGCUUCAGAACGCCCUGUUGGUAUUCCAAGCGUGUGUGUUAGGUUUACCUUGCAAGGUUGAAUCUCGAUUCAGGAAUCGUCCGCCUCUCACGAUGAAUGAGACUACUUAUCCAUUUUACCACAUAGAGUAAGAAGUGUAACUAAUGAUGGAACAAUCUUGAUGGAUGAUAAUCCCUACCUUGCUUGUUUAGUGUAGGUGCUUACCUAGAAUGGCUAAUCAAACUAGAAUCUGAAAGCUAAAAUUUGAAAGUAGUUCAUACUCUUUGUUGCUUUUCAGCUGAAAAUAAACCCAGAACCUUUACAAUGCCUUCAUGAGUCUAGUUACGGGCUAAAGUAUACCCAAUUCCGGGUAAGCCUUGCUGAGUAUUAGUAUACUCAGCCUUGCUAGCUAUAUAUUUUGCAGGUAAUGUCUGGAAAACCCUACUCUCCCCUGCCUUGGCCCUGUGCUCUUCCAGAAGGUUGGUCCGUGGAAUGGGAUCCGUCCUCGGCCAACAUUGAUGAUACCGAGUGAUGUCGUGCCCGGGCUUAGCAUGACAUCCGUUUUGUCGACGUGCUGUAGAUCAUCGCGUAUGUUUUUCCGCUGCUAAACACCAUAGCUUUAACAGUUUGUAAUAUCUUUUCUAAUUUAGAGCUUCAUACUUCUUUCGGAAACUCUUGUAAUGAAUUUCCCUGUGAUGUAAAAUAUGAUGGUAAUUGUAUCUCUGGACUCACCUUCGUGUGAGGUAACCUUAUUUGAUCCUGUGUAUCGGUGGUUUAUCGGGACGUUACCCGACAGGCCAAGGGAUUAUUCCGUUUGAAGCACGUUGGAGCCCUCUGGAGUGGACUCGCGUACUUGAGCCGGUAUAAUUCAG
RNAcentral lists this long non-coding RNA (2998 nucleotides) under Panicum hallii. RNAcentral's name for it is "long non-coding RNA (PHAL_LNC000540)". The record is from RNAcentral. Lineage: Eukaryota; Viridiplantae; Streptophyta; Magnoliopsida; Poales; Poaceae.